Molecule: unclassified non-coding RNA, 463 nt
Filed under: Hevea brasiliensis (rubber tree)
Lineage: Eukaryota; Viridiplantae; Streptophyta; Magnoliopsida; Malpighiales; Euphorbiaceae
Source: RNAcentral
AAGCCUCAUUUUUGUUCAUCUCCUGCAAAACAACAAUUUAUAUCAUUUUUGGAUCCAAAACAGAAGGGAAUGAAGAAGGGCAGGAGAAUUCAUGCAAGUAACCAACUCCAACAAGCUUAGGCAAAUAUUUGAGUAGUUCAGCUGAGCCUCCUAAACAGAACAUUUACGGCUCCUUUUUCUUAUUUAUAAGAUAUAUGCUUAGCCGGGUAUCACAUUGUUGAAAAUAAGACAUCUCAAAUAUCUAUGCAAGCUGAUAACGACAUAAAUUUAUGUUUGUCUACACUUCAGCUAUGUGAUGUGACAGGAGAACAAAGCACAGAAGCUACAUGCCAAAUUUCUAACAUGAAAGCAAAUAAUUUCACAAGAACAAGAAAGAAAACACAAUUGAGAUAUGGCAAUAAACUAAUACAAUUACAAAUGAACCCAUAUUUAUGAUGGGAAUAGACAUUAUGAAAGGUAAUAU